This 1315-nucleotide unclassified non-coding RNA is filed under the name Haliotis rufescens (red abalone). Its description in RNAcentral is "uncharacterized LOC124118442, transcript variant X7". The record is from RNAcentral. Lineage: Eukaryota; Metazoa; Mollusca; Gastropoda; Lepetellida; Haliotidae.
CUUUACUACUAGCUUGCGUGCUAUUUACAUUGGUCUGCGUCCUUAGCUUUUGUUCCUAACAUAUUUAUUUGUCUCUUCGGAGACCAUCUUAACGCUGCCAACGUCCUCUUGCGUUCAUUUCCUUCCAGUCAGAAUUGUACGACUUCCUUGCAGCCAUUGCAGCCAUGGCUCCCUCGCGCCAGUCACCUAAAGUCGCCGAUUGCAUAUUAUACAAGAGAGGAAUAUGACUAGUCCUUUUCACAUUGUGUAGUGUACACAAGUCAGUCGCUGGUUGUUGAGUCUGUAUCUGAAGCCAUGGAGGAGGACUUGCCUACCGCCUUUCUGCCACGUGAAGGAAUAUUCAAGACUGGCUAUUCUCUGGCAUUGACAUUUUAUAUUAACUGUUGGUCAUGAAGCAGUAGGAUCACCAGUGCAGUUUCUGAUUUGCAUGUACAAUGUAUCCUGUGUUCAACAAAGUGUUCAAUUCCAUUCAGGAUGGACAAUAAAACACUUCAAAAGUACAGAAGAUGGGGCUGUGAGUGGCAGUGGUGAGUGUUGUCUAGGACGGGCUAUCAGAGGAGUUAUGGGGGUGUCAAAUAUGGCCAGGUUAAUGUUAAAUUAACCGCAAAUGGCAAAUGGAGAGCUGUUCAUGUUCACGAGAUAGUCUACAUGAUAGCUACCAGCCAAUUCAGUUCAGGUGCAAUGUACCUGUGGAAACACCUGUGGGGUGGGGGGCACCUGUUACUGGAGACCCACCCCAUGAAGCUCACCCCAUGAAGGUCCUGCAUGGACAGUGGUGGGGUGCCAAGAUGCUUGGUGACCCUCAGACUGUGACAAGGCUUGUUUUUAUUUGAUGGCUAACAGAUGUCUGACUAACUGAGAAGUGGGAAUACAAACAAGAUUAUGAUAUUUGUCAUGACAUCAUUUGGGUGAGUUGGUGAAGUAGACAGAAAAUGAUGAUAAUUUGACUUAGGCUGCAGGAUGUGUCUAUGUUUGCAGGUCAUGUAAACAUGCAUUUAACUUUUGUCAGGAAGUUUCUUCUUUUUAUCUGGUGUUAUCAGUGACCAAAGAUUAUAUACAUUAUUCAUGACAAAAGCAAAGACCGGUAAAUGACGAUACAAGUGUACUUAUAUUAUGUUUUCGGUUUGUGGCUUCUGACUUUGGCCUGGAGAUGUUUAAUUGUGUUACUAUGGUUACAUGAAGUGGGAGAUCUGUAAACCAACAAACUAAAGUGUUGCCAAAUCUUCAUGUAAGUGUGUUACCUUCGUUAUGUUACAGUUUUUUAUGAUUUCACCCACAUUAGUGUAGAACCAAUAAAGUGUGUCUCAAACAUGAA